Molecule: long non-coding RNA, 4436 nt
Organism: Rhea pennata
Lineage: Eukaryota; Metazoa; Chordata; Aves; Rheiformes; Rheidae
Exons: 4
Source: RefSeq, a predicted model, not a curated record
GGACUUUUCUUUUCCCAAAUGUUGAGGAUUUUUGGUUUGAAGUUGAUCUUCCAUGUGUUUUAAAAGCUUAAAAAAAAGCAGGUUAAACAACCUGAGAGUAAAACAAGGUAUUUCAUGUGAAAAUGAUUUUUUUUAUUUUUUAUUUUUUUUCCCAGAGUGAAGGUCCAGUGAGAGCUGGGAGGACUCACAGCUGAUGGGCAUGAGGACGGGAGCACAGGUUGGGCUCGAGCCGGGAGGACGUGUGGCCAAUGGGUGUGAGGACGGGGACACACGGGUGCGUGGGACACUCUCCCCAGGCAGGAGGAAGGUUGCAAGCAGAGGAGGAGGCACACAGGCACAGUGCAGAGCAAGACCACAGCCCAAAGGGGCAGCCACCAGCUUGUGCAUGGUGUUGCUGUUGACAUCCCCUCCCCUGACAGCCAAACACUGGGACCAGCUGUGUACUUGUCUUUCAUCCCAUACUCCAUUGGGCUGUUGCAAUUACUUUCCCAAGCUGGGCUGAAUCAUUAAAGGAUUAAGAAAAUCUUUGAGAAGAUGACUGGGGGACUGAUGGAAAAUGACUGUUUUUAACAUUAACUGUUACACCAAGCUUCAGCUCCAUUUUUCUUCCCAUUCAAGCUGGAGUUGUCAGACUUCAGCCGGUCCUUUUGUUUCUAUUUACCCUGCUCCCUGAAUGUGCCAGCAGAAGAUGAAUGUAACAAAGUACCAACUUUCAUUAAAUGUGCUGAUUUACCUGGGAAACCUGGAACCCCAAUGCAUUGACAGGAGGUCUGGGAGAUGCCCUCCUGUUGACAGUGAGAUCUCUUGCACGAUUCAUCCUGAACAACCAUUAAUGCAUUUAGCACAGUGGCUUUUAGCGUCAUGAACUCAAGGACCACUACAACUUUUCCAACAGCAACACAGCUGAAGAGUGUUGAAUGGCAGAAAGGAAAUUACUUUUCUUUGUAACCUUUUCAUGAGUCUAUGCAAGUAGUUGACAGACCCUCAGGCCUCAAGGACCACAGUUUGAAAGUCACUAACUUAUCAAACUACGUAUGAAGAACGCUUCAUCUAACUUCUCUGGGUGAGAAUUAAAUUUUGCGAGUGGCAAAAUUUCAUGCAGAUAUAGGAGGAGAUAAGAAGAUACUGACACUGCAGUGGAAAUUUGGAUAUUCUUGACAGAGACGGGGAGCUGUUCUCUGCAGUAAAAUCUUUCCUCAUGGUGAGCUGAGCCCUGGCUGUGGAUCCACAAAAAGCUGCCUAAGGAGACAAACCUGGCUCCUUCACAUCAUUUCCAGCUGAGAAGCAGAACAGAUGUGGUAUUGCUGACCCCAGACAUUCAGAGCUUAUGAGUCUGCUCUCCAAAUUCAAACAAAAAUAUUAAAUGUUGAUCUCUUUUUGCUUGCCUUCUGGGUCUGGAACCAGUAGGUUACUCUCAAAUAACACUCAAAGCCUUUAUUUAUUUUUCCCCCAAGCCACAAGAACUAGAACAUUUCUGCUCUCGUCAUAAACGGAAAGCUGAGAGUCUUGCUGAAUCACUUGUCUCCAGGAAUGAGAUCUUUGAGGAAAAUACCCAGCAUCAGGAAGUUUGCAGUGUACUCAUGAGACCUGGCAAUGCUGCCAGGAGAUGAAACCAAAAAUGAUGUCAUACAGCCUUGUCAGGAAGGACAACAUAAGGAUUGUAUUUGAGGAGCAUACACAAUCCUGGUCUAAGAGCAGGACUCUGUGAUUGUGACCGUGUCAUAUGUCUUGUGAUAGUCUAAUGCUGUGGGAUGUCACAUCAGCCAGUAAUCACUGAAGCAGGCUUAGACAUAAGCCAAUCCUAGCCUCUUCCCACUCUGCCACAUCUUCCCUUAUGUUUACUUAGAGGUAAACAUAAAGACAACGUCUUCUCAGUGAGGUGUCCCCAAAAGUAAAUACUGUAAGUACCCUUGGGAUAUUGGACCAGUGAUAUGGGGAUGCUGGGAGAGAGGCUGCCUGGAAGGAAGGAAAAGAGGAGAUGAGGGAGGAAGAGCUAUAGCUCAGUGUAGAGACACACAUGGAGGAGGCCAUGCCAUGUCCGCAAGGCAACGUGCACAGCUUCUGUGAGCAAGCUCAAUCUGAUAUGAGAAGCCAUUUGCGGUAGCUCUAGGUCUCAGCCUUGCUCAUCCUCAGCCCUAGACUAAGAGGGAAAAACAUCCUAUUGUGCAAGGAAAGAUACCCCCAGCCAAAUUUUGCUGACAGUUUGGUGUGGUUGGUUACAUGGUGCAGAACCCCACAGGCAGAGCCCUGUAAUGACCUGAUUUCCCUGGGCCAUAAGGUCUCAAAAUCCAGCUACCUGGAGAAGCCUCAGAUGGAAAAGAGAGGGAGAAAAGAGAUGAAAAUAAGGAUGGAGAGAAUGAACCCCCUAUUUUUCUGUUUUCAUGUGUCUUCUCUACCCCCCUUUUCUCCAUUCUUCAGUCUUCAUAUUCUUUCUGGGAGAAAGCUGCUGUUGGAAAACAGAGAGAGAAGACGACAAACACUGCUGUGGAAUUAUUUAACGAGCCAGAAUGAAUUGCAUUUGAAAUCACUUAAAUGGGAUCUGGGAGUAUUUAACUACAGCACAGGAACUUAACAAGAGUGGGAAAGGAUUCUGUGCUAAUUGCUGGCAAUGAUAUACCUAUGGAGAGAGAAUAUGCAGCAAUUAGUAAGCAAGGCUGUAAUUUCAGCCUAAGGUCCCUGCCUGCCUUAGAAUAUGGCAUGGAUUAUCUGCUGGAAGGAAGACAGAGGCCUAGGUCCAUAGGACCAGAGAAACUAGCAGAUGAGGUUCUCAUUAAGAAGUCAUUAACCCAGUUUUUCAUGGAGUGGCAUGCAGGAGAUGGGUCUCGUUAGGACCCAGCUGUCCCUUCAUGCCACCCUAGUUUGACUCUUGACCGCACGUUCCCCAACCUAGAAUGACUCAGAUUCGCAAAACAAAAACAAAAUACAGAACCCAGCUCAGCCCAUGCCUUACUGUUUUACCAGCUUCCUUGCCUGCCUCCAGGCUGCCCAGAUACUACAGGAACUGAUCCCAUCGCCAGGUCCCCCUUUAACCUUGGGCAGCUCAUGCAGCGGAAGGGGGCUGAGGACCAAUUUGCCUGUUUCUUGCAGAGAACUUGGCAACUCCAGGGCAUCCUCAUGUCCUGACAGCCAGAGUUGUUACCAGAUUUGGGGAACCAGCAGGACAAGAGCACUGAGCUGGUUAUCUGCACGUUACAUAGUCUUGCUCACAUCCUCCAUGUGGGCAGAGCCUAGGGAUGAGGACCCUUAGGUUGAGUGAGGUAACUUCAGGGUGCUGGCUGCAGGUGGCAGGGCCACACUGGGAUGGUGGGUGAGAUUUAAGGAGGAUUAAUGAAUGAGGGUGAGGUAAGACUUCUGUGGAGGACACCUUUGCAGCAGCCAGUCCUCCCCAGCUGCACAGGAACCAGUACCCACCAGCAGGCUGGCAUAGAAGUGGUGUGGAUGGAAGAGGAGUCUGGGCUUGAGAACAGGGACUACGGAAGUGUCCAUAGAGGCUAGACCCUGUGGUCCCACUCUGUUGAGCCUGCAAAGCUGUCAAACGAAAGACGGCCAGCAGCAGUAAUGUCCGAAACCCCAACCUGAGCAGAGCCACGCCGAUGGGGGAAAGACUGUCGUUCGAGAUGGGACAGGGUCAUGCUAAUAGCAGCUCUGGGAGGGUGUCCUCGCUGCAGGGGAAAGCAGAAAGCCACCAGCUCUCGGCUGUGCUGCUGACACCGAGCAGCUGCACGCAGCCUCCGCCAGCCUCUGCUCAUUGUUUCCUGGUCCUGCUGCUCCCUGUCUCCAUUCUCUCCCUGUGAUGCCUCUGUCUUUAGCUUUUGUCUUUCAAUCAAUUUUCAUCUCAGUAAUUCCCAUUCAAUGGUUAGUCCCUGAUCUUUCUAAUUGAGAUUAGAGCUUCAUAUAAUAGGGAGGGGAGGAGGGAGACUAUUUUUAAUUUGCUACGUUCCCAUUAAUAACAAGUUCUAAUUAAAAAACCUCCAUCUCCAUCCUCCCAAGUUCAGAGGAAAAGUCUCUGCAACUUCUGUUGGAAUCUUCUCCUGAUAAAUUGGUACCACAGCCUCCUAGAACAGCUGGUCCUCUUUAGCAGGCAUAGUAAUUAAUGGGAAUAAUAAAUGCAUUCAAAGCAGGUUCGUAACCCUCCUUUCUGUGCACUCAGGCUUCCCUUUGCAUUGCAAGAGACACGCAUCAACAUUUCCACUUGCAAAACAGGCCCAAAAGAGCUGCCUAAGUCUAACAAGCCCAGGUUUCAUUAGCACUCUCUGGCCCAUAAUAAACCUUCUGACACAAAGGAUCCCCAGGGGAAGGGAGGUUCCCUCUUGCCUGGGAAUGAGGCUGAUGCACAGAGCAGGGACGAUAUCGCAGAGUAGCUCUGUGGCCAUUGAGGACCUUGUGCUGGCUAUGAGUUUCUCAUUGCAUCUCCCCAGCUACCACAGGGAGAAAUU